AAUGAAGGAAACUUUGAUCCAGGCAUGCCGUGUGAGUGAUGAAGGCAUUUUUGUUGUAAAGCUCUUUCAGUGGGGAAUAAAAAAAUAAGGUACCCACGUAGAUUCUUCGGAAUUUACAUAAGAAGCACCGGCUAACUCCGUGCCAGCAGCCGCGGUAAGACGGGGGGUGCGAGUGUUGUUCGGAAUUACUGGGCGUAAAGUGCGUGUAGGCGGAAUAGCAAGUCUAUGAUUAAAGACCGGGGCUCAACCUCGGAAGUGUCAUGGAAACUGCUCUUCUAGAGAUCGGGAGAGGUAAGCAGAAUUCCUGAGAUUAGGGUAGAAUCUGUAGAUAGCAGGAGGAAUACCAAAGGCGAAGGCAGCUUACUGGAACGUUUCUGACGCUGAGA
Molecule: ribosomal RNA, 386 nt
Filed under: uncultured Gammaproteobacteria bacterium
Lineage: Bacteria; Pseudomonadati; Pseudomonadota; Gammaproteobacteria
Description: bacterial SSU rRNA
Rfam family: Bacterial small subunit ribosomal RNA
Source: RNAcentral